This 465-nucleotide ribosomal RNA is filed under the name uncultured bacterium. Its description in RNAcentral is "partial 16S ribosomal RNA". It matches the Rfam family "Bacterial small subunit ribosomal RNA", at positions 28 to 507 of the family's 1533-position model. The record is from RNAcentral.
GACGAACGCUGGCGGCGUGCUUAACACAUGCAAGUCGAACGGAAAGGCCCCUUUGGGGGUACUCGAGUGGCGAACGGGUGAGUAACACGUGAGUAACCUGCCCUUGACUUCGGGAUAACUUCAGGAAAAUGGGGCUAAUACCGGAUAGGAAUCCUUGCUGCAUGGUGGGGGUUGGAAAGCUUCGGCGGUUUUGUAUGGACUCGAGGCUCAUCCGCUUGUUGGUGGGGUAGUGGCUUAACAAGGCUUUGACGGGGAGCCGGCCCGGGAGGGCGACCGGCCACAUUGGGACUGGGAUACGGCCCAGACUCCUACGGGAGGCAGCAGUGGGGAAGAUUGAACAAUGGGCGGGAGCCUGAUGCAGCAACAGCGCGUGCGGGAUGACGGCCUUCGGGUUGGAAACCGCUUUCAGCAGGGGCGAAGCUUGUGGUGACGGUACCUGCAGAAGAAGCACCGGCUAACUACGUG